GACGAACGCUGGCGGCGUGCUUAACACAUGCAAGUCGAGCGGAAAGGCUCCUUCGGGGGUACUCGAGCGGCGAACGGGUGAGUAACACGUGAGUAAUCUGCCCUCCACUCUGGGAUAACGUUCAGAAAUGGGUGCUAAUACCGGAUGUACACAGGCUGACGCAUGUUGGUGUGUGGAAAGGGUUUUUCUGGUGGGGGAUG
This 200-nucleotide ribosomal RNA is filed under the name uncultured bacterium. RNAcentral describes it as "partial 16S ribosomal RNA". It matches the Rfam family "Bacterial small subunit ribosomal RNA", at positions 28 to 227 of the family's 1533-position model. The record is from RNAcentral.